Molecule: ribosomal RNA, 916 nt
Filed under: Candidatus Taylorbacteria bacterium RIFCSPHIGHO2_01_FULL_49_60
Lineage: Bacteria; Candidatus Tayloriibacteriota
Description: bacterial LSU rRNA
Rfam family: Bacterial large subunit ribosomal RNA
Source: RNAcentral
GAAACAAGGGCGUAUGGUGGAUGCCUUGGCUUAAGGAGGCGAUGAAGGACGCGAGCUAGCGGCGAUACGCUCCGGGGAGGUGCUAAGCAACUUUUGAUCCGGAGGUCUCCGAAUGGGGAAACCUGUUUCGGUAAAACCGAUUCGUCCAGCCGUAAUUUCAGUUCUUUUAGUUAGUUAUUUUGUAGGAAAAGCGAAUCUGACAAGUCCGUCCGUCUUAACUGGUGAUCCCAGCGAUUGGUGUAAGCCGAUUGUGAUGCCGGCAGUGCGCAAGGGAAGUUCGUAACCGGCAGGUAGUCGUGAGUGCACUCAAAAUCAAAGCCUGCUUCUCCUACAAACACUCCCAAACUAACGGUUUGGGAACUGAAAUUACGGCUGGAAGCGUACCCUGGGAAGUAAAACAUUUCAGUACCAGGAGGAGUAGAAACCAAUAAGUAUUCCGUCAGUAGCGGCGAGCGAACGCGGAGAAGCCCAAACCAGCCUCAUCACAUGGAAUGUGAUUCGGAAUCACCAAAUCACAAUCACCAAAUUCCAAACAAACGACUUUCCUAAGUCGUUCCCGCGUAGGCGGGAAUCCAGAAUAUCUGGUUCCCCGUUUUCACGGGGAUGACAUCAGAAUGUCAAUUGUUUGGUUAUUGGAGAUUGGUUAUUGGAAAUUCCGUAUCGCGUUUCGCGCGAUGCGGCUGGGGUUGUAAGGCAGAAGCGUCGUAUUUAUACGAGGAAAGUUACCAAAUUGUUUGUUAAUGGAAGUUGCUGGAAAGCGACACCCUAGAGGGUGAUAGUCCCGUACAUGAAAACAAACAGUCUUUCUUGCUUCUGUUCUUGAGUACCUCAAGACAUGAAUAGCUUGAGGGAACCCGCCGGAACUAACCGGCAAGGCUAAAUACUUCUUAAGACCGAUAGUGAACUAGUACCGUGA